This 468-nucleotide ribosomal RNA is filed under the name uncultured Alphaproteobacteria bacterium. RNAcentral describes it as "bacterial SSU rRNA". It matches the Rfam family "Bacterial small subunit ribosomal RNA", at positions 9 to 521 of the family's 1533-position model. The record is from RNAcentral. Lineage: Bacteria; Pseudomonadati; Pseudomonadota; Alphaproteobacteria.
GAGUUUGAUCUUGGCUCAGAGCGAACGCUGGCGGCAGGCUUAACACAUGCAAGUCGAACGGGCGUAGCAAUACGUCAGUGGCAGACGGGUGAGUAACGCGUGGGAACGUACCUUUUGGUUCGGAACAACUGAGGGAAACUUCAGCUAAUACCGAAUAAGCCCUUACGGGGAAAGAUUUAUCGCCGAAAGAUCGGCCCGCGUCUGAUUAGCUUGUUGGUGAGGUAACGGCUCACCAAGGCGACGAUCAGUAGCUGGUCUGAGAGGAUGAUCAGCCACAUUGGGACUGAGACACGGCCCAAACUCCUACGGGAGGCAGCAGUGGGGAAUAUUGGACAAUGGGCGAAAGCCUGAUCCAGCCAUGCCGCGUGAGUGAUGAAGGCCCUAGGGUUGUAAAGCUCUUUUGUGCGGGAAGAUAAUGACGGUACCGCAAGAAUAAGCCCCGGCUAACUUCGUGCCAGCCGCCGCCGU